RNAcentral lists this ribosomal RNA (468 nucleotides) under uncultured bacterium. Its description in RNAcentral is "partial 16S ribosomal RNA". It matches the Rfam family "Bacterial small subunit ribosomal RNA", at positions 28 to 507 of the family's 1533-position model. The record is from RNAcentral.
GACGAACGCUGGCGGCGUGCUUAACACAUGCAAGUCGAACGGAAAGGCCCUGCUUUUGUGGGGUGCUCGAGUGGCGAACGGGUGAGUAACACGUGAGUAACCUGCCCUUGACUUUGGGAUAACUUCAGGAAACUGGGGCUAAUACCGGAUAGGAGCUCCUGCUGCAUGGUGGGGGUUGGAAAGUUUCGGCGGUUGGGGAUGGACUCGCGGCUUAUCAGCUUGUUGGUGGGGUAGUGGCUUACCAAGGCUUUGACGGGUAGCCGGCCUGAGAGGGUGACCGGCCACAUUGGGGCUGAGGUCCGGCCCAGACUCCUACGGGUGGCAGCAGGGGGGAAUAUUGCACCAUGGGCGGAAGCCUGAUGCAGCAACGCCGCGUGCGGGAUGACGGCCUUCGGGUUGUAAACCGCUUUCGCCUGUGACGAAGCGUGAGUGACGGUAAUGGGUAAAGAAGCACCGGCUAACUACGUG